This 183-nucleotide small RNA is filed under the name Phascolarctos cinereus (koala). RNAcentral describes it as "TUC338 (ENSPCIG00000009329.2)". Lineage: Eukaryota; Metazoa; Chordata; Mammalia; Diprotodontia; Phascolarctidae. The record is from RNAcentral.
CUGACAACCUUGGAAACUAAAGUCAUUUAUUUAUCCUCAAAGCAGGCAAAGCACACGCAGGGACAAUGCAAGCCUUCCCUUCAUUGCCCUGCCAAAGGGGUUUGGAUACUUUUCUAAAAAGACCACAUCUGGUGGGAAGAGAGACUUAACCACUAGGCAAGAUAAAUUCAAAUGGUCGUUGCU